ACACACACACACACACACACACACACACACACACACACACACACACACGAAAUUUGCACCCUUUAGAGUGGUACUAUUAAGUUACUCAUCGUUUAGGAACUAGCUGAAAUGCCACUCUAGUGUACACACAAAUGUAUGAAAAUAAGAUAUGUAGAAGCACAUAGAGUUGUACGUGAUGCUGUAUGUCUUGUAUGUAUGUAUAGUGUCGUCCACUCUUUUGUUGGUGACCAUCAUUGUCGUCACUGUUGCUAUCCAGACUACCUUCAGAUUUCGGUACAAGUUAUUGGAAUUUUCAAGGGUAUGUUCAUUAUACUAGUAAUAUUUAUUUAACAAAGAUUCCACAUCAAGAAUCAUAAACGUCAUGUCUCUAGCCUUUAAAGAUAUUCGUCACGAGAGUGCAAAGUUUUUCAAAACACCAACCAGUAUUCAUGAAGAGGCAUCAGACUCAGAACACUGAACUUAGCUGUGAAUCCUAUGUUUGUACUUUACUCUCGCACCAUUCUGUUUGUGCAAUACUGCAAUUGAAAACAUUGAGCUGCCGCGCUGUUGCAUCUCGUUUAAACCAGUAUUGUUUGUGUAAAAGGCUACCCUGGAUGUCUUCCGUGUGUUUUAGACUCUGGUAUUGGUCCAGCUGUGGAAGAGGUGGCUUUUAUUAAACUCAGUCUACCUUCAACGUUGUAUUGCAAAGAAGUGAAGAAAACUGACUCUGGUUUUAGGCGUAACUAUUAUAGGAGCUCAUUUUCUUCGGCGUGCGAUGGAGGCAGCUCGAUAAGGCUUCUGUACACCUUUGCCAUUCCUCCAAGAAGGAAGCUUCGCUGUCAUGCGUCUUCCCGAGUGCCUCAUUUGUUUCUAAGUUGAUGAUUUAUCGGCGAUGGGGAGGAGGAAGGGGAGGUAGCAGUACAUUUACUAAUAGACACCUGCUGCCGGAUAGCACGGCGUCAACACCUGCCUCGUGUGGCGGGUGGCCAGGUGGUCACACCGAGACAGGUCGUAAAAGAAGGGCUGGGAAAGGCAGCCCUUACACGUUCACAACUUUUUAUUCAAAACCAUCAUGUUUAUUUAGACUUUUUUUUGUUAAGCCUUUUCGUGUACCUAGAAUAUAGCUUCUUCAGAGUGAGGACGCAGACACGCGUCUGCUAAUGAUUAAGAGGUGUCAUUUGUCUUGUUUCUGUCUGCAGAAGUAUAAUUUUAUGUACAAGUUGUCGCGAGUCAGCUCUCAAGAAGUGCCUGCUGCCGGUUGUUAGCGGAGAAGUGCAUCUCGAAUAUCUGUUGUAAAACAAAUGUCACGAAACUAACGAACCUGUUAUUCGUCCCUAGCGUAGCAACUAUUGUGUGUGUGUGUGUGUGUGUGUGUGUGUGUGUGUGUGUGUGUGUGUGUGUGUGUAAAUAUAGUUGCUGUCUCUUCACUUAACAUCUCAAUAACGUCGAUGCCACAUUCCUCGUUGCCACCUUUGCAUAGGAGCGACAGCAGGGCUUCCUCCUUCACGUAUCGUCCCGUCAUACAACGAGAAGCGCCAAGAACCUAGCAGGCCUGCUUGAUAGUGGUGGUGGUGAGCCGAUGAAGCACUUCUGGUACCAUCAGUCUUAUUAACUAAUAGGAGUGUCCUCCUGUAAGUGCACGUGAACAGCUUGGGACAGAGAGAGAGAGAGAGAGAGAGAGACGGUGGGUGGGGGAGAUGUCACUGUUGUAGGGGACGCGGUGGUGCCAAGCCGGUGUAGUGGGAUGCCGACAGAGUUGGCAGGAGUAAAGUGUUCAGGUUUGCACGAGGCCACACAGUCCCCAGGCCCCAACCCGCUGUCUUUGCCGUUGCCUCGAGCCCCCACGUGGCUGUGAUGCCCUGAGAUGCUCUCUGAUCACAUGACGCCUGCUGUCUGACUCUCUCCUGUGCACGUGUGUGUGUGUGUUAGCGGGUAGCAAGUCGCGAGAGAGUACAGUUAGCGAUAUCCUGCACGUUACUCUGCCACACAUGGAAUAAUGAACGGGGGCGAGACGUCGUGUUAGCUGCAGCGGCUGGCGUUGGCAGGGUGAGGCGGGGGUGAAGGGGUACCUGGCGUGGUGAUGAGUGUGUAACGAAAAGAGGAUUAGGAGCAAACGAUUAAAGCAAAUGUUCUUAAAUGCAUGAUGUUCUUUGAGGCUUAUGAAUUUUUCGUCAGUCCUCCUCCUCCUCCUCCACCUCCUCCUCCUCCACCUCCUCCUCCUC
RNAcentral lists this long non-coding RNA (2201 nucleotides) under Portunus trituberculatus (swimming crab). Its description in RNAcentral is "uncharacterized LOC123512378". The record is from RNAcentral. Lineage: Eukaryota; Metazoa; Arthropoda; Malacostraca; Decapoda; Portunidae.